UGCAUCCUCCAGGAUGACCUAAGAAGCCUUCUCUGGUAGCCUAAUUGUAUCAGUGGGCUACUCGUUAGUGGCAAGUUGCUUAACUUCUCUGAGCCUUAAGAGUCUGCAUUGGUGAAAUGAUUAUCUAACUUUGCAGGUCUAUCGUGGAGAUUAAGUGGGAUGAAGCUUGUCAUGUUACCUGGCCCUAACAGGCCCCACAAAACCUGCAUGUGCCCCUGGUGGUGAGCUACAUUGCUUGUGGAUAGAACCCGGAAGGCAGCAAACCGCAGAAGGAUAUAUGCUAUAAAAAUUCAAUUCAGGGUCUGAAAAAUGCCUGUGGCCAUUCCAUCACCACCCACCACCCGUCAUGAGGAGUAGUUGCACUGGAAAGAAAAAGUGGUCUUAACUGCUUGUGGUGAAAUAAUUUUGCCUUUGCAAAAUUUCAAAAACUUAGGGUGAAGCAACCUCACAGCCACAGCUCUCCCAGGCUCGGAAGAGGCAAGUGCAAGUGAAGGGCCAGUGAGCUUCAGCUCCGGGAGUGUUACGGGAAAGAAAAUGUUAGAGUCAGAUUGCUCUGGUUCUAAGCACAGCUCCAGCACUCAUCGCCUGGGGGACCUGAGGCUUGCCUUCAAGGCCAUUCUUUUUCAAGCAAUCCCUGCAAAUAAUAUGUGUAUCGCGCCUCCAGAGACCUCUGGGGUUGACAGGCUGCUUGCCGCAUGGUGGACAGGGAAGCUGCUGGUCAGUGAGUUGCCCGGAAGGACAGCUGAGGAGGGACACUCAGAGGGAGCAGGAAGCAACCCCCCUCCCCCCAAAGGAGGGUGAUACUUUUGGUAUCUGGAUGCAUUUUAGACCACAUCUCUCCAGGCUAUAUGGGAUCAGGAGGGACAGAGUACUACAACAAGGACUGGUAAAUUCUUUUCUGCUUUUUUUGGGGGGUGGGGAGUAGUAAAAUAUGAAGUUCUUCCGGAAAUGCUACUUCUGAGAAUCUAUCCUAAGGAAAUGAUGACAGAUUUAGGUGGCAUUAUGUGUCUACCAUUAUUCAUAAAAUUUGGAAACAAGGUAAAUGUUUUACAAUAAAGGCUUAGUUUUAAAACUAUCUCUAAGGGGGCUGGGAGUGUAUGGGAAACCUCUGUAUCUUUCCCUCAAUCUUGCUGUGAAGCUAAAACUGCUAAAAAGAAAAAAAGAAGCCUUUAAAAAAAAAUCCCUAUCUGUAUGACUGUAUAUUCUGUGCUGGU
This is a long non-coding RNA of Lutra lutra (Eurasian river otter), 1214 nucleotides long. RefSeq lists it as uncharacterized. The record is from RefSeq and is a predicted model, not a curated record. Lineage: Eukaryota; Metazoa; Chordata; Mammalia; Carnivora; Mustelidae. The transcript is spliced from 4 exons.